CCAAGAAAAUUCUGGACCACAACUUUGUUUUUUCCUUAAAGAAAGACCUUGACCAAAACCAAACAGUAUUUUCCUCCAUUUAUAAAGUUCAUUGUUUCUAUCCUGCUUUUGAUUUCUUACACAAUUUUUCUUUUUGGAGGUAUUUCAUUCUGCUGCAACUUGAAAAUCAAAAGUUGCAACCAGAUCUGACUGCUGAACAACUGAAAAGGACUGUGAAUUGAAUAUAUAACCUUCUCACUGAUAUACAAUAUCAUCACUGUCAUUUUUGUAUCACAACAUAAGGAUUACUCAAAGUCUCGCAAGUCAAUAAUAAAACAAAACCAACAGGAUUUGGAAACUUAUGGGAGAUCUGUACAUCAUGUCUUCUUUGGUCGGUGUACUUCAUGUUUUGGGCAGGUUUGUUGUACAAUCACAUACCUACUUCUGUAGAUGGGUAGA
Lycium ferocissimum is the source of this 438-nucleotide long non-coding RNA. RefSeq lists it as uncharacterized. The record is from RefSeq and is a predicted model, not a curated record. The transcript is spliced from 3 exons. Lineage: Eukaryota; Viridiplantae; Streptophyta; Magnoliopsida; Solanales; Solanaceae.